Molecule: non-coding RNA, 926 nt
Organism: Zonotrichia albicollis (white-throated sparrow)
Lineage: Eukaryota; Metazoa; Chordata; Aves; Passeriformes; Passerellidae
Source: RefSeq, a predicted model, not a curated record
ACCCUAAUGGGGGAUGUCACCACUGGGAUGUCCCCAAGGGGUGGCCCUGAUCGUGGUGACCCUGAGGGUGUCCCCAAGGCGAUGUCCCCAAUGGAAUGUCCUCAACGGGUGGCCCUGAGGAUGUCCCCAGUGGGGUCACCCUAAUGGGGGACGUCCCCAAGGGGUGGCCCUGAGGGUGUCCCCAAGGCGAUGUCCCCAAAGGGGUGACCCUAAUGGGGGAUGUCCCCAAAUGAGGUGACCCUAAUGGGGGAUGUCCCCAAUGGGAUGUCCCCAAGGGGGUGGCCCUAAUGGGGGAUGUCCCCAAUGGGAUGUCCCCAAAGGGGUGACCCUAAUGACCCUAAUGGGGGAUGUCCCCAAUGGGAUGUCCCCAAGGGGGUGGCCCUGGGGGUGACCCCAAUGGGGUGACCUCAGUGGGGAUGUCCCCAAGAUGUCCCCAAGGGGAUGUCCCCAAUGAGGUGACCCUAAUGGGGGAUGUCCCCAAUGAGGUGACCCCAAUGGGGGAUGUCACCACUGGGAUGUCCCCAAUGAGGUGACCUCAGUGGAAGAUGUCCCCAAGGUGAUGGCGCCAACGGGAUGUCCCCAAUGGGGUGGCCUUGGGGGUGUCCCCAGUGCGGUGACCCUAAUGGAGUGACCCCAAUGGGGGAUGUCCCCAAAGGGGUGACCCUAAUGGAGGAUGUCCCCAAGGAGGUGGCCCUGAUGGCGGUGACCCUGAGGGUGUCCCCAAGGGGAUGGCCCUGUCCCCACCGGGAUGUCCCCACUGGGGUAACCACAUGGAUGUCCCCACCGGGAUGUCCCCAAGGGGGCGGCUCUGUCCCCACCGGGAUGUCCCCAAGGGGAUGGCCCUGUCCCCACCGGGAUGUCCCCACUGGGGUAACCCCAUGGAUGUCCCCACCGGGAUGUCCCCAAGGGGAUGGCCCUGUCCCCAC